UACGUCACAGAGACAUUCCAGAGGAUUAAACUCAAUAGGAAGAUGUAAUCUAUAUGAAACCUGGUUUAUAAUCUCAUCUAACAAUGUAACACAUAAAAACACACAAGUGCUGACACGCUUUAUGUUUAAUUCCACAGCUCAGAUACCAGAAGUUUGACUUUCUCCUGCUGAAACUGAGUCACAUUUUAUUCCUACACGUUCAGUUUUACUCUCUAUUUUCCUCAUUGUUAAAUUAAGCAUUUAAAUCAUUCUUCCACCGUUAAAAUCACAACAAAGUGUCAUGAAUGAGCUGUUAACCCUCCAGUACCUCAACACCUGUACCUGGAUGACUUCACUGUUUGUCCACCUGAUGUUGUUGUUUGAGCCUCACAGAUGGAUCCAGGCUGUUUCAUUGUCUUGUAGACAUGUGAAGCCUCUCAGGUAUGCCGCUCAACGUGAGGAAAAAGAAAACAAGAAGACGGGUUGUUUUUCUCACCUGUUGGAGGAGGAGAAGCUGCUGCUGCUGCUGACAGGUGAGCCGACCAGGUGAGUCUGUUCUCAGAGAGGAUUAAAUGAAGUCGAGAAGAAGAGAAGACUUGUGACCACACUGAGUGGUCUCAGAUAUGCAGUCAGUGCAGAGGGGGUAAAACACUGUAUAGUGGGCGACCACGGGCGACGUGAUUGGUCGAAAGCAAACCAAUAGAAGGGGCUGGACAGAGAGAGAGAGAGAGAGAGAGGGUAAAACAAAACAAGGACGCCGCCCUCCAUGAUGUUUGCAUUUGUGGAAAAAAACUGUGUAUGUGUGUCAGAGGAUGUCAUGUGGUCUUUAUGAUCUCAAAACAAAAAGAGGCCAUACAUUGAAGCAUUAAAGUGUGUGUGUGUCUGUGUGUGUGUGUGUGUGUGUGUGUGUGUGUGUGUGUGUGAGGAUGUUUGUCUGCUCUCGGUUGCUCGGCAGCAGAAUAAACCACCACAUGAAGCCACAACACAGCGACACUUUGUCACACCCACAGGAAACGCUCCCAACAAACACCUCAGACUCGUUUGACUUUCCUGAGUCUAAAAACCUGAAGUCCAGUCGACGUCUCUGCAGCAGCCUGUUCAUCGGCCUUACAGCAGAACGAUUCCAGCAUGGAGGAGCAUUGAUGGCUGCAAUCAAACCAAACAAAAACAGCCUGGAGGAGAACGGGCGGGGAGACGCAUCACUGAUGAGCCAAACCUGUUUUUUUUCGUUAACAUUAUUCUUUAGAAGCGUCGCCUCCCACGACCCCCUGACAGCCCACAUACCUCAUCUCACCCUGAAACCUCCUCGAGGGCUGAAAGCAGUGACUAUGCUGGUGCUUGUGUUGGUACAAGUUACCUGAAAGAGUUUUUUCUUUACAUCUUCAUUCAUCCGUCCACUGUUCAUCUCGAUUUGUUCUUAUGGGUGCCUAACUUGUCUUUAUUUGUUGACCGCUGACUUUAUUUUAUACUAUUUAUAAUCUCUUAUUUGCCCUUUGGUGUGAAGCACAUUCAUUUAAUUUCAUUCUUUAUUUGUCGAGCGAGCAGGUACAAUGUUAAACAUAAUUGUUGCCGUUUGAUGCAUUGUAGCAGAGUUAGCUUACAGCUAAUUUUCCCAUUUGUUUGGAAAAAAAGUGCUUUAUAAAUAAAGUUAUUAUUAUCAUUAUUGUGUUUGGCAUUUGUUUUUGUACCCGUGUUGAUAAAGAAAGUGUCUGUCUCCUUAUUUUC
This is a long non-coding RNA of Sparus aurata (gilthead seabream), 1704 nucleotides long. The record is from Ensembl. NCBI's taxonomy places the organism in Eukaryota, Metazoa, Chordata, Actinopteri, Spariformes, Sparidae.